This 302-nucleotide ribosomal RNA is filed under the name uncultured bacterium. Its description in RNAcentral is "partial 16S ribosomal RNA". It matches the Rfam family "Bacterial small subunit ribosomal RNA", at positions 508 to 808 of the family's 1533-position model. The record is from RNAcentral.
GCAGUAGCCGCGGUAAUACGUAGGGUCCGAGCGUUGUCCGGAAUUAUUGGGCGUAAAGAGCUCGUAGGCGGUUCGUCGCGUCUGCCGUGAAAUCCUCAGGCUCAACCUGAGGCGUGCGGUGGGUACGGGCGGGCUAGAGUGCGGUAGGGGAGAAUGGAACUCCUGGUGUAGCGGUGGAAUGCGCAGAUAUCAGGAAGAACACCGAUGGCGAAGGCAGUUCUCUGGGCCGUAACUGACGCUGAGGAGCGAAAGCGUGGGGAGCGAACAGGAUUAGAUAACCCCGGUAGUCCCUGUCUCUUAUA